Long non-coding RNA from Triticum urartu, 2354 nucleotides. RefSeq lists it as uncharacterized. The record is from RefSeq and is a predicted model, not a curated record. NCBI's taxonomy places the organism in Eukaryota, Viridiplantae, Streptophyta, Magnoliopsida, Poales, Poaceae.
CACCACACUCUCUCUCUCAUCCCUAAAAAAACUCUCUCACGAACUCACCUCGGUCCACCCCACCCCGGCUCGGCUCCUCUCCCCACGAUCUCCUCGCCGCCGCCACCACCCACGCCGGCCGGUUCCGGCGAGCACCGGCCGCGCACAACACUCCCCCAAGCUCCUGCCUUCCUCCGCUCCGAUCCCCAUGGAAGCCACCGCUGCCGCCUCCCUCGCGCGGACUCUCGCCUCCUCGCUGCUCCCCUGCAGCUCCCGCCGUAGCCGCGUGCGCGUGGCCGUGGCGCUGGAGCGGCGGAGGAGGGGUAGGGCGGUGCUUGGUUAGUGAUCCGUCGCCGCCGCUGGCUUUCCUCCUCCCCUCUCCUCUGUCGCCGCCGCUGGCUUUCCUCCUCCCCUCUCCUCUGCCGCCGCCGCUGGCUUUCUUUCCUGCGAGCGGGGAUCGUCCGUGAUCCGUCCGGAGCUCACUCCCCGCCUCCUACAUGUGUACGUGCUCGACCCCCUCACCUCAAUCGUCCGUCAUCCGUCCGGGAUUCAUGCUCGGACAUGGCCAGGCCCCCCGUUCUUGAUAUGGCCUAGUAUAUAUCUAGUUCCUGGUGUUCAGGUCGUGUGGCUUAACGGCCACCCCCUGAGCCUAGUUGGAUUUGUUUCAGGUGCUGCGUUGAUUAGGUCCUGGAUGAUUGGGUUGGGUACUGACCUAUGUCUGUAUGUAGCAACAGAUACAGGAGAAGUUUUCUGUCGGAUUAGUUUACAGUGAAUUUUCAGAUGACCGAGUUUAAGAUUGAGAAUUUGGUCAAAGCUAGGCUUUAAUCCUAGGGGAAAAUCUAUUAAAAAUAAAAGGAAGAACAAAUGAAAGCAGGGAACUAGACAGUCCCUACGCAGACGUAAGGCCACUUCAGAUUCUCACCUCCUUCAAUUCAGAAUUCAGAAAUUAUAAUUCCUAUGUUUUUUAUUUGCCCAUAAAAAUUGCAGCCAAUUCAAAAUGCACACACUAUCAUCUUAGUGGAACUAUUCAGUGCCUUCUUGACCUGGUUGACCAUCUAUCCUUUGCCCUCGUCAUCGAUAUAACAUCCAGUGUGUUUUGUUUACGCUCGUCUAACAUGCCAUUGCUCGCCAAACUGAAUGUGGGUGGGAGCAGCAUCAAUAAACUAAGUCUAGCAUGCCAUUGCUCUUAUCGUCAUACCACUGAACUGUGUUGUUGAAUUGGAUUGUGUAGAUUCAUUUAUGUAUGUUUAUCCACCAUGAACGAACAAACUCUAGGGGCAAAUUUAUCCUUUUUACCUUUUAUUUCUUAAUAUAUGCAUUAAACCAUGCCUCUUAUGAUUUUGGCUUCUCAAGUAUAUUUUUAUUGUUUGUGCGUCGUGCAUCUACGCUUGUGGAAAUAUUACAGCCCCACUGUUAGGAGUACAAGUUUAGUCCUGACAGACUGGGCGUAAGUGGAUUGGUUUUCCUUUUGAUUAGUAUAAGUAGAUGGUAGCAGACCUGGACAAAUAACAUUGGAUCUUAAUAUCUCAUGACAUUGAGUAGAGGACAAGAGAUCGGAUGAGUCUUGUUGUCACAUGUGGUUCGGAUGGUCAAAGUAGAUGGUAGUUGGAUCCGAGCACCCAGUCAGUGAUGCUCUGCUGCCCGAUUUAAAAUGGUGCUCUCUGGAGAGCUAACGUCGACCCCGGCGCUGGUGCAGGAGGUGUCCAUGGGCAACAUCCUCGGCGCAAAGCUCGGCUAGACCCCGGCCAGGCAGGCCUCUCUCCGCGUCGCUUGCCCAAUACCGUACCCUGCACCACUGUCAACAAAGUCUGCUCGUCGAGGACGAAGGGAUAUGGAUAACUAUCUGAAGGGAUGCAGGUUUCUUCCCAAACUUAAGAAUGAGAUACCCGGUGAAAGAAAUGCUCCCUAGUCCCUACAGGGAAAGUUUGAGCAGCCUAGAGAAUUUAGUACUGAUCAUGGGUGAUCGACGAGGACUACUGCGGCCCGAUGGGACUCAUGCUCUUCAACUACUCGGAGGCAGACUUCACCGUGAAGCCCCGCGACUGCGUCAUAUAGAUUAUCGUCUAGGUGAUUGCGGCACAGGAGGACCCCGGGGUGGAGGACCUCGACGCCACCGUCCGGAGGUCACGAGGUGGAAGACGACGCCACCGUCCGUAGUUCCUCAAGGUGAAGGACCUCGACGCUUUGUAGAUACAUCUAGGGAAGUGGUCUGGUUAGGUUGGUGGUGAAAUGCUAGGGAAGGUACGAACCUUUUGAUGAUGGUUGUGUGCGUCCUCGUGAUCUCUUUGAGUUGAGAUGUUCAAUGUUGCAUCCAUGAACACUGCAAGUGUUAAGAUGGUUCUCUGAAAUUUAUUUUGCACUGGACGUGUCUCUGA